GGAGCCCGCAUCACCCGAAUGUGGUGGUGGGGUGCUCGAAUGGCGGAGACACUGGCAAGUUUUGCCCUGGCAACGGCCGGCGGCGCCUAGUACAGCCAUCCUUGCGGUGGUGGGAGCGGUGGCUGUUGGUGCGGCUGGGGGGAGAUGUGAGCACCCUGUUGGGUCCUGAAAGAACAACCAUGGUGUUGUUGUUUCAGAGACUUGCCGGCCUCCGUGUGGGGGCUGGACGUCUGCCAGGCAUGGCCUGGCCUCGCAUACCGCCGACUGUUGGGUUGGGUUUGGUGUGGGGCUGUUGGGUUGUGGGUUGGU
RNAcentral lists this unclassified non-coding RNA (309 nucleotides) under Micromonospora sp. RNAcentral describes it as "partial 16S-23S ribosomal RNA intergenic spacer". The record is from RNAcentral. Lineage: Bacteria; Bacillati; Actinomycetota; Actinomycetes; Micromonosporales; Micromonosporaceae.